This 212-nucleotide ribosomal RNA is filed under the name Clostridium yunnanense. RNAcentral describes it as "Clostridium sp. YIM B02505 partial 16S ribosomal RNA". It matches the Rfam family "Bacterial small subunit ribosomal RNA", at positions 1 to 211 of the family's 1533-position model. Lineage: Bacteria; Bacillati; Bacillota; Clostridia; Eubacteriales; Clostridiaceae. The record is from RNAcentral.
UAAAUUGAGAGUUUGAUCCUGGCUCAGGACGAACGCUGGCGGCGUGCCUAACACAUGCAAGUCGAGCGGAGAAAGUUCUUCGGAAUUUUCUCAGCGGCGGACGGGUGAGUAACACGUGGGUAACCUGCCUUAUAGAGGGGGAUAGCCUUCCGAAAGGAAGAUUAAUACCGCAUAAUAUUUUCGUUUCGCAUGAAAUGAAAAUCAAAGGAGCA